Molecule: ribosomal RNA, 253 nt
Filed under: uncultured bacterium
Lineage: Bacteria
Description: partial 16S ribosomal RNA
Rfam family: Bacterial small subunit ribosomal RNA
Source: RNAcentral
UACGAAGGGGGCUAGCGUUGCUCGGAAUUACUGGGCGUAAAGGGCGCGUAGGCGGACAGUUUAGUCAGAGGUGAAAGCCCAGGGCUCAACCUUGGAAUUGCCUUUGAUACUGGCUGUCUUGAGUUCGGGAGAGGUGAGUGGAAUGCCGAGUGUAGAGGUGAAAUUCGUAGAUAUUCGGCGGAACACCAGUGGCGAAAGCGAGUCUCUGGACGGCAUCUGACGCUGAGGCACGAAAGCCAAGGUAGCAAACGGG